This 94-nucleotide ribosomal RNA is filed under the name Serratia marcescens. Lineage: Bacteria; Pseudomonadati; Pseudomonadota; Gammaproteobacteria; Enterobacterales; Yersiniaceae. The record is from RNAcentral.
CCUGGCGGCAAUAGCGCGGUGGUCCCACCUGACCCCAUGCCGAACUCAGAAGUGAAACGCCGUAGCGCCGAUGGUAGUGUGGGGGCUCCCCAUG